CCAAUCAUAUUGAAUGAAUUUUCCCUACGCUCUUGCCUGCAUUUUGGUUACGUUACUCAUAUCUUUGCUUUCGAUGUCUGUUUAAUGCUUUCACUCCCAGUGUUUUCGAUACCGAGUUGUGUCAUUAUUUUUCCGUGAAGGGCAGGGUUUAGAGGGAGGCGUACACAAUGAGUAUCUAAUGGUCCACUAGUUCUGGAGUGACGGUUCAACUUAACCCAACAGUGUCAUCAAACCAGAUCUGUGGACACAAACCGGAAAAGAGCUCGAGAUAAUGAGCGAGAAUCUUGAGGUCACCUACAAGGGAGAAGAGCGCGACUUUCUGAAGAAUACGGAGUCAAUACAAAGGAAACAAGACAAGGAAAAAGGCAAAAGAGAAGUUGGAGAAGACUGUUCAAAGAGGCACUAUUGGCAGAUUCCAAACCAAGGGAUGAAAGGCUUUUUUAUUUUACCUUUAUUUUACCAGGUGAAAGGAUGCAUGAACUUAAAAUUCAGACUGAUGAACUUAAUAUUCAGACUGAUCAACAAAUGUGUCCUACCUCAUUGUGAUCUGUGUUGUAAAUAAACAGGACCUAUUGAAAUCAA
Molecule: long non-coding RNA, 582 nt
Organism: Salmo salar (Atlantic salmon)
Lineage: Eukaryota; Metazoa; Chordata; Actinopteri; Salmoniformes; Salmonidae
Source: RefSeq, a predicted model, not a curated record